GCAUAUCAAUAAGCGGAGGAAAAGAAACUAACCAGGAUGCGCUUAGUAACGGCGAGCGAACCGCGCAAAGCCCAACUUUAAAAUCUCCCUCUGGAGAAUUGUAGUCUAUAGAAGCUUCCUCUGUGGCACACCCAGCUCAAAUCUUCUGGAAAGGAGUGUCGGAGAGGGUGAGAACCCCGUCGGCUGUCGUGCUUGCCACUCCACGAGGUGCUUUCACAGAGUCGUGUUGCUUGGGAAUGCAGCACUAAUUGGGUGGUAAAUCCCAUCUAAGGCUAAAUACUGGCGAGAGACCGAUAGCGAACAAGUACCGUGAGGGAAAGAUGAAAAGAACUUUGAAAAGAGAGUUAAAAAGUGCUUGAAAUUGUUGAGGGGGAAGCGUUUGAAUGCCGUGGGUGCGCCUAGGCUUAUGGGUCUCUAACGAGCCUCUGUAUGUGCUAGGUGCUGGUCAGCAUGGGUUAGGCCCGCAGGAUAAACGCCGGGGUUGUUACUCGGUCUAUACUGCAGGCCUGACCAAGGUAUGAAGAGCGCCCUUGUCCUUCGGGAACUGCGUUCUCAAGAUGCUGGCAGAAAGUAUUCAACCGACCCGUCUUGAAACACGGACCAAGGAGUCUAACAUGUAUGCGAGCUGGUGGGUGGAAAACCCAUGAAGCGCAAGUAACCUGACUGGUGGGAUGGCCUGUGCCUGCACCAUCGACCGACCAUGAGCUUCUGCGAAAGGUUUGAGUACGAGCAUACCUGUUGGGACCCGAAAGAUGGUGAACUAUGCCUGAGCAGGGCGAAGCCAGAGGAAACUCUGGUGGAGGCUCGUAGAUGUGCUGACGUGCAAAUCGCUUUUCGGACUUGGGUAUAGGGGCGAAAGACUAAUCGAACCAUCUAGUAGCUGGUUCCCUCCGAANUUUCCCCCACGAUAACUGGAGCUUGUAUCANUAGCGUCAGGUNAAGCGAAUGAUUAGAGGUUCGGGGGAUGUAACAUCCUUCACCUAUUCUCAAACUUUAAAUAGGCGCGACGGCCGGGUUGCUUGAUUGAACCCGUGUCACUCUAUGAGAGCUCCAAGUGGGCCAUUUUUGGUAAGCAGAACUGGCGAUGCGGGAUGAACCGAUAGUCGAGUUAAGGUGCCCAACUACACGCUAACCUANAACCCACAAAGGGUGUUGAUUGAUAUAGACAGCAGGACGGUGGUCAUGGAAGUCGAAAUCCGCUAAGGAGUGUGUAACAACUCACCUGCCGAAUCAAUUAGCCCCGAAAAUGGAUGGCGCUGAAGCGUGUGACCUAUACUCGGCCAUGGAAGCAAGUGCGAGGCUUCCAUGANUAGGAGGGCGUGGGUGUCGUUGCGAAGUCCGAGGCGUGAGCCUGGAUGAAACGGCAUCUAGUGCAGAUCUUGGUGGUAGUAGCAAAUACACAAAUGAGAACUUUGUGGACUGAAGUGGAGAAAGGUUCCAUGUGAACAGCAAUUGGACAUGGGUUAGUCGAUCNUAAGAGAUAGGCAAACGCUGUAUGAAGAGAGCACUUGUGCUCUGCCUAUCGAAAGGGAAAAGGGUUAAGAUUCCCUUACCUGGAUGAGGGAGCUGGCGGCAACGCAAGCGAGCCUGCAGACAUCGGCAUUGACCCUGGGAAGAGUUCUCUUUUCUUUUUAACAGCUCGAAGGCCCUGGAAUCGAAUCAUUCGGAGAUAGGGCUCAGAAGCUGGUAAAGCACCGCACGUCUUCGCGGUGUCCGGCGCGCCAAUGACGGUCCUUGAAAAUGCAGGGAGCAUUACUNCUCUCACCAGUCGUACUNNNNNNNNNNNNNNNNNNNNNNNNNNNNNNNCAGCCUCUANUCGAUAGAAUAAUGUAGAUAAGGGAAUCGGCAAAAUGGAUCCGUAACUUCGGGAAAAGGAUUGGCUCUGAGGGUUGGGUCUAGGGGUCUGCAUCUUGAAACCGCGGGCUGUCGGCACCCUGCCGAGUGCUUUCGGGUGCGANGCGGGGUGCUGCGUGCCUGUGGCGGACGGGUGCAGAAGCUUCGGCGUUCCCUAGACGACGAACAACCAACUCAGAACUGGUACGGACAAGGGGAAUCCGACUGUUUAAUUAAAACAAAGCAUUGUGAUGGUCCCAAAGGAUGUUGACACAAUGUGAUUUCUGCCCAGUGCUCU
RNAcentral lists this ribosomal RNA (2131 nucleotides) under Ankistrodesmus stipitatus. RNAcentral describes it as "eukaryotic LSU rRNA". It matches the Rfam family "Eukaryotic large subunit ribosomal RNA", at positions 38 to 2211 of the family's 3401-position model. Lineage: Eukaryota; Viridiplantae; Chlorophyta; Chlorophyceae; Sphaeropleales; Selenastraceae. The record is from RNAcentral.